This 489-nucleotide ribosomal RNA is filed under the name uncultured bacterium. RNAcentral's name for it is "partial 16S ribosomal RNA". It matches the Rfam family "Bacterial small subunit ribosomal RNA", at positions 29 to 507 of the family's 1533-position model. The record is from RNAcentral.
AUGCACGCUGGCGGCAUGCCUUACACAUGCAAGUCGAACGGCAGCAUGACCUAGCUUGCUAGGUUGAUGGCGAGUGGCGAACGGGUGAGUAAUGCAUCGGAACGUGCCUUUUAGUGGGGGAUAACGUAGCGAAAGUUACGCUAAUACCGCAUAUUCUCUGAGGAGGAAAGCAGGGGACCUUCGGGCCUUGCGCUAGAAGAGCGGCCGAUGUCGGAUUAGCUAGUUGGUGAGGUAAAGGCUCACCAAGGCAACGAUCCGUAGCGGGUCUGAGAGGAUGAUCCGCCACACUGGGACUGAGACACGGCCCAGACUCCUACGGGAGGCAGCAGUGGGGAAUUUUGGACAAUGGGCGCAAGCCUGAUCCAGCCAUGCCGCGUGAGUGAAGAAGGCCUUCGGGUUGUAAAGCUCUUUCGGCUGGGAAGAAAUCGCACCCUCUAAUACAGGGUGUGGAUGACGGUACCAGCAUAAGAAGCACCGGCUAACUACGUG